Antechinus flavipes (yellow-footed antechinus) is the source of this 1559-nucleotide long non-coding RNA. RefSeq lists it as uncharacterized. The transcript has 4 exons. The record is from RefSeq and is a predicted model, not a curated record. Lineage: Eukaryota; Metazoa; Chordata; Mammalia; Dasyuromorphia; Dasyuridae.
GUGCUCAAGAUUGUUCAAGACUCAAGACUUCUCAAAGGCUGCUCGAGACAUAAAGCCAAAUCCUACUGCUUCUUUAGUUCAUCAAGAAGACAACUUUAUGGUCUGGAUUUCCUAUGUGUAGAGUUGUGAGUAGAGCUUCCAGUAUAUUUGCACCUGCUGCUUCAUCACUUGCUUAUCAGGAUUCUGAGGGUAUUGAUAUCCAGUAGCAAGACAUAAAUCAAGAUGACUGGUGAUAGCCCAGCAUGCAAUGAAGGACCAUAGUGUUUUUGAUGUCCAAGUGAGCUCUAAGUGCUCCACAAUGCUGCAUUGGUUGAUUUUGAGAUGCCAUGGAGAGCCUUCUAGCUUUCUAUUUGUGGUCAAAGACUUGGCUCUCUCUCUGACCCAGAUUUUGCCAGAUCCCUUGUGCCCUACUGUUACCUUCCUGCAAAGGCUACACGACUAGUGAUCGCUGGUGACUUCAUCCUUUGGGUGCUGUUUAUGGAUGAGUAUGUUAAAAAUGCGGACAUUUAAUUAUCACUUAAUCCACAAAUUUAGGGUCUGACUGCAACAGGCUUUCUUCAGAAUAUUCAUUUGGAAAAUAUGCUUUCCUUUGAGUCAACCAGCUUUACAAGAGCUUGAAAAUUGGAAUGAUGCCCAUUGGGCCAUUCAAGCAACACAAGCAUUCUGCUUUUUAGCUGCUGCUCCCCAUGUCUAGGACUAGGACAUCUGUGCUGUUAGCCUGACACUCUCAAGCUGGCUUCAGAUCAUGCAUGAAUUUUCUGUGUGUGGGCUUCAAAAAGCUGUGAAAUAGAUCCAUUCAAGAUGAGCACACAUGAAAGAGCAUAGUAAAAAAGGCCAAUCAAUCAUUGGGAUUUGCAUGCCCCUUUUCUGAAAGCCCGUUACAGAGAGCAAUAGAACAGAGAAGAAAAUAUGACACUAGCUGUUCCUGUUCUACAUAGAGGAUGAUUUGAAUUAGAUUUAAAUAUAAGCCAGAGGAUCUUCAGAGAUGAUUCUUUUCUCCUCCUUCCUUCCCUCCUUUUCUUCCUUUUUUCUUUCUUUUUUUCUUUCCUCCCUUCCUUUCAUUUGCCCCUUCUCUCUCUUUCUCUAUCUCUGUCUGAGAUGCAUAAAUGGAAAGCUAUUUAAAAAUAUCUAGUACUAAAUACAGUCUAGCUCCUGGAGUAAUCUCUGACUACUGAAAACCUGUGUAGGCAACUUGCUUUUGCCUAAGUAUUUUUAUAAGCCAAAAGCACCAUGUAAUACAUUGGAUACUAUAAAUAUAGGGAGGGGGAAAAUUCUCUAUUUUGUCUUAGAUUAAGUAUAGAGUAAUAAAACCUUAUAUAGAUAAAUGAGAAGUAAAUACUGAGUUUAAUCAUAACAUUUCCAAGAUGUUUUCCCCAGACUACCAUUCACAGAACAGCAAAUCAUGAAACCAAACUCAAUCUACUAUUGACAAUAUGGGUUGUUAUUUUUUUAAAGUUUUAUUGCUAUGUUUUGUUUUUGCCAUGACAAAAUUUGUAGAUUAUUCAUCUUUCAUGGGAAAUAUUUUGUAAAUGGGCAAAACAAUAAAGUAAAAUUCCACA